This 268-nucleotide long non-coding RNA is filed under the name Mytilus galloprovincialis (Mediterranean mussel). Lineage: Eukaryota; Metazoa; Mollusca; Bivalvia; Mytilida; Mytilidae. The record is from RNAcentral.
UAACCCUUUCCUCCAUAAUGACGCCUUUUGACGCCUGUGUAGUACCUCAGUUGAAAUGCUUUGACUACAAAAUGUCUGCAUCAGACUUAAAAAAAAAUUGUAUCCAAUAUGAAAAGGAUAUUCAUGAGAAUUAUCUGACUUGAAUUUCAUUGAUGAAAUAUUGGUUUUCACAAUGCAUUAACACUUUAAAACUGAUGAUUUUUUUUAACUGAAAAAAAUCCGAUGCAAAUCAAGUAUAUUAAAAAAAAAUUCAUGGAGGAAAGGGUUA